GCCCCGUUCGUCUAGCGGCCUAGGACGCCGCCCUCUCACGGCGGUAACACCGGUUCAAAUCCGGUACGGGGUACGA
RNAcentral lists this transfer RNA (76 nucleotides) under Brachybacterium faecium. RNAcentral's name for it is "tRNA-Glu". It matches the Rfam family "tRNA". From Rfam's summary of the family: Transfer RNA (tRNA) molecules are approximately 80 nucleotides in length. Their secondary structure includes four short double-helical elements and three loops (D, anti-codon, and T loops). Lineage: Bacteria; Bacillati; Actinomycetota; Actinomycetes; Micrococcales; Dermabacteraceae. The record is from RNAcentral. RNAcentral also lists the same sequence under 4 other names.